UUCAUAAAUAUAUGUCAUUGCAAUAAAGCUUUAACUAUGCUUUUGUCUCUUAAGUUUUCAGAGUUGCUUGUGAGUGCAUAUCCAAGAUUGGCAAAUAUCUGUGGUGGCUGGAUGCUGCACAAAUCCACAGGUGGGGGUGGGCGGCGGAGCUUGAUUGUUAUUCCUCCAGAUCUACAUGGAUACACUGGCCAGUAGCUAAAAGCAGUGAGCGGAAAUGGAAGAUACACAAUGUACAUUUCUCCAUUACAAGAAGAAUUUGAUACAAUUCCAUUACCACCCGAAGCAAAGGAGUUUGAGAAAAUGCCCAAAGCCCAGUGUACAACCUGCAAGAAAAUGGUUCCACUUCAGAUUCUUCCAGUACACAUCAAGGAAUGCAAGACAGAACUUGUAGAUUUGUCCUAUUCUGCUGAAGAGGAAAACUGCAACGAAGAACAUGAAGAUGAAUUCCCAGAUUCCAUUUGCAACCAGACAGACAAGGUGAAAUUGUUUGUACCUUCCUGGUAAAUUAAGAUAUUAAUAUCUGGAAUAAUGUAAAAUUGUAUUCACAUGCCUUGUGAAUUCUAUUUUAAGACAGCAGAGUGUCCUGUGUGCAACAAUGCAUUUCAAGUUGACAUGAUUGAGAUCCAUGCAGCCACAUGCGGAUUACGACCCUCAGAUAAUGACGGCCAUGAGUCAAGUGAAUCAGUACCAGUCGGUCAAAUCAGUUCCUUUCAAAGUUCUGAGGAAAUAUUGGAUUGGAUCACUUGUCAAGUUGAUGAAACAAACACAUUUUCCAUCUGUGUGUCGCGAACUGACCUCUUCAGCAGAGGCAUGCAACAGUGGCAACGGCAGAAGAAGACGUCGCCCAAAUGUAGACUUAAGGUCGCAUUCUUUGGUGAGGCAGGCAUCGAUACUGGCGCCCUUAGCAGAGAAGUCCUCGCAGGUACAAAUGUUUGUCUAUAUUUCAUUUCACAAUAAGAGAAUAUUUGUGCGCAUCAAAUUCUUACAAGGCUCGGUGCAGGAUAAAAGAUAAACAAGAACAAAAAGGAAAGGAAUUAUCUACACACUGGAUAUAGUUCCAAGAAUUUUUAUCGGACUGAUGUGUGGUCUUCGUUGUCUUCCUGUUUGUCCAUAUUUGUCAAAUCAGACACACUUGACACACAUCAACACGAGGCCUCUGGUGGUGUAGUGGGCUCACAUGCUAAUUAAAUGGGAAAAAACAAGAGACAGAAGAGACCUUUUGAAUUUCCUGUAUUUGCUGUUUUGCAGAAAUGCUAUCAGAAAUCGAAAACAGACUCUUCGUUUGAGGGUCAGAUAAGAAAGGGAAGAAUCCUGUUUAUUGUCUCAACAGUUUGGACUCUAACUACUUCAGGAGUGCAGGAGAGGUCAUGGCAGCCAGCCUGGCAGAAGGCGGACCUUGUCCUAGCUUCAUGCGCGAGUGGUGCUUCAGACAUCUCUGCUCCGGAGACUCUGACACCAUACAAGUGUCUGCCAGUGAUGUAACAGAUUUUGAACUGUCACAGCUUAUUGAGAGGAUAAACAGCGCCAGUAAUGACAUCAGUAACCUGGUUGACGAUGUUGUGACCUGUGGAUACACUGGAAUCGUGUCUCUGGAAAAUAAAGACAGCAUGAUAAGAACUGUCGUACUUCACUCCACCAUGAGAGUCAUCCCAAUGCUCGACCAGCUCAGAAAAGGCCUGCAGCUGUAUGACCUACCAAAAAUCAUGAAGACUCAUCAAGACCUCUGCCUACCACUCUUUGUUCCAGGGGAAGAUGAUGAGGUCUGUUCUGCCCCUCAUUUAUAGUGAAUCUGUUAUAAUGUAACGUCAUCUCCAGUAAAA
This is a long non-coding RNA of Amphiprion ocellaris (clown anemonefish), 1820 nucleotides long. RefSeq lists it as uncharacterized. The transcript has 8 exons. Lineage: Eukaryota; Metazoa; Chordata; Actinopteri; Pomacentridae. The record is from RefSeq and is a predicted model, not a curated record.